UACAGAGGGUGCGAGCGUUGUUCGGAUUUACUGGGCGUAAAGCGCACGUAGGCGGAUAUUUAAGUCAGGGGUGAAAUCCCGGGGCUCAACCCCGGAACUGCCUUUGAUACUGGGUAUCUUUGAGUCCGGAAGAGGUGAGUGGAAUUCCGAGUGUAGAGGUGAAAUUCGUAGAUAUUCGGAGGAACACCAGUGGCGAAGGCGGCUCACUGGUCCGGUACUGACGCUGAGGUGCGAAAGCGUGGGGAGCAAACAGG
RNAcentral lists this ribosomal RNA (254 nucleotides) under uncultured bacterium. Its description in RNAcentral is "partial 16S ribosomal RNA". It matches the Rfam family "Bacterial small subunit ribosomal RNA", at positions 524 to 776 of the family's 1533-position model. The record is from RNAcentral.